Molecule: ribosomal RNA, 1379 nt
Filed under: metagenome
Description: bacterial LSU rRNA
Rfam family: Bacterial large subunit ribosomal RNA
Source: RNAcentral
UUGGCUUAGAAGCAGCCAUACAUUUAAAGAGUGCGUAAUAGCUCACUAGUCGAGAGAACCUGCGCCGAAAAUAAUCGGGGCUAAAACAUACCACCGAAGCUACGGAUUUGUUACAGAGGUAACAAGUGGUAGAGGAGCAUACUGCAAGGACGAAGCCAAAAACGAGAGUGAUGGUGGACGAAGCAGUAGAGAGAAUGCCGGAAUGAGUAGCGAGAUAUAUGUGAGAACCAUAUAGGCCGAAUAUCUAAGGAUUCCUGAGUAAAGCUAAUCUACUCAGGGUAAGUCGGGACCUAAGGCGAGGACGAGAGUCGUAGUCGAUGGACAACUGGUAGAGAUUCCAGUACUAUGAAUAAUCAGAACUGUGGGGACGCAGGAGGAUAGAUGGACCGCGGAAAGGGAAGACGCGGCCAAAUACAAAGUCAAGGUUGGGAGGCAAAACCACCAAUUGAUGAUGAAGUAUGACGGGGACUGAAAGAAAGUAAGGAAGUCAUCGAAUCCACACUGCCGAGAAAAGCCGCUAUAGCGUUAUUCAUACCCGUACCGUAAACCGACACAGGUAGAUGAGGAGAAAAUCCACAGGCCGACGGGAGAAGUGUUGUUAAGGAACUCGGCAAAAUGACCCCGUAACUUAGGGAGAAGGGGAGCCACGAGAGUGGUCACAGAAAAGAGGCUCAAGCAACUGUUUAGCAAAAACACAGGUCUCUGCGAAACCGAAAGGUGAAGUAUAGGGGCUGACACCUGCCCGGUGCUGGAAGGUUAAAAGGAGAGGUUAGCGCAAGCGAAGCUUUGAAUUCAAGCCCCAGUAAACGGCGGCCGUAACUAUAACGGUCCUAAGGUAGCGAAAUUCCUUGUCAGGUAAGUUCUGACCCGCACGAAAGGUGUAAUGAUUUGAGCACUGUCUCGACAACACGCCCGGUGAAAUUGAAGAACCAGUGAAGAUACUGGUUACCCGCAACAGGACGGAAAGACCCCAUGGAGCUUUACUGCAGCCUGAUACUGGGAUUCGAUGAUAUAUGUACAGGAUAGGAGGGAGACGAAGAAGGUAGGACGCCAGUCUUGCCGGAGUCGCCGGUGGGAUACCUCUCUUAUAUCAUUGGAUUUCUAACCUGCAUCCGUGAACCGGAUGAGGGACAAUGUCAGGCGGGCAGUUUGACUGGGGCGGUCGCCUCCAAAAGAGUAACGGAGGCGCUCGAAGGUCUUCUCAGAAUGAUUGGAAACCAUUCAAAGAGUGUAAAGGCAAAAGAAGGCUUGACUGCGAGGUCGACGGACCGAGCAGGUACGAAAGUAGGACUUAGUGAUCCGGUGGUAAUACGUGGGAAUGCCAUCGCUCAACGGAUAAAAGCUACCCUGGGGAUAACAGGCUGAUCUCCCCCAAGAGU